This 191-nucleotide unclassified non-coding RNA is filed under the name uncultured Gnomoniaceae. Its description in RNAcentral is "sequence contains ITS1". The record is from RNAcentral. Lineage: Eukaryota; Fungi; Ascomycota; Sordariomycetes; Diaporthales; Gnomoniaceae.
CUGGAAUACACGCUCGCAAGAGCGCUACCCAGAAACCCUUUGUGAAUUUUUCUCAAAUGUUGCCUCGGCAGUGACUGGCUCUCUAUAGAGUCCCUCUUUUCUUUGGAGAAGAGGAGCAGGUCGGCCGGUGGCCCUAUAAACUCUUUGUUUUUACACUGUAUUUUCUGAGUUUUUAAAAAAUAAAUGAAUCA